This 1883-nucleotide long non-coding RNA is filed under the name Triticum aestivum (bread wheat). RNAcentral's name for it is "long non-coding RNA (TAES_LNC018565)". Lineage: Eukaryota; Viridiplantae; Streptophyta; Magnoliopsida; Poales; Poaceae. The record is from RNAcentral.
CUCUGUAUGGCACUUCUAAUGAGUUACUAAUCAAUGUUUUUGUUGCAACUUCACACUUUUCAUGAGUCUGAUGGUCAGGAUAUUUAGGUGGAGGUAGUAGCUUUCUAAUGGUGGCCCUCAUGUCCAGCUCAAAUACUAGACAACAUGGACCUGUUGGGAGAAGCACGUACACCUUAGUUUUAGUGAGCAGGUAAAUUAGUAAUCCACAUUGUUUCUUCUAUGAUGUUGCUUUGAUCCUGUUUAUAUGAUUCAGAACACUUGUAAAUACUUCUCUCCAUUUUGCAACGAUACACCUGUUAAUGUACUGAUUGUGUAUGCUCUUACUAUUCUACAGAAUUUGGAUUAUAUCUUGUCAUUGUUGUUGGGAUCUAUUGGAUUCUUGUGGUUGUUACUAGGUAGGAAGCUCUUCUUACUUCAACAGAAUCAGGGACCCCUUCUUUCAGAUUCAGUUAAUCAUCUUGUUUGUCAUUCAUUAAGUAGAGGCUCACUGUCUGUGUGUGUGCAGGUUUCCAAAGAAACAAAUACUCAACGCCAUUUGGUGGUUUUCAGUGUGCCAAUCUCUACAUUCAUAGUACAUCAUUGAGUUUUACCUUCAACUAAGAAUGUUUCCGUGUGGUGAUUAUUUGUUCAUUCCUUUGUUGCUUAGAUUAGCUCUAACCAUUUUGCAGCCUUUUUCUGCUCUUAUUCAACUACUUAUUUAUGUACUCCUAUCUUGCAAAUGGUUUACUUAUUAUUGUGUGUAAUUUAAUGUGAGGUGCCGCACUCAUUUUCUCCGGCACUAUCAAGAUGGAGGCCAACAUAUCAUGGAUGGCUGGAGCUAUGAUUAAAUUUUUCCAAGAUACAGCAGUGUUCCUAGUCAUUAUUCUGGUAACUGUCUUCGAUUUCCAUGUGUUAACUGUUUGUGAAGGCGGUAACGAUAGUAAUGUUCUUCUUAGUGAUGCUCUUGACCUUUUGAUUCGUACAUUGCUAAACUGAUCACUGAGCUCUGACCACUUUGAUUCACAGAUUGCUGAAUUACCCACAUGCACUCUUGUUGUCACGGUUCGUAAAUUACCGAAUUUCCCAUUAGGCCACAACCACAUAUGUUGUAUUGAUUUGUCCUACCAAUGUUACAUGUGGUAAAGUUUUCGAAACUAAAAGUUCCUGACUACUGUGUGAAAUUAUCAACAUUUGGUUUGCUCCUGUCUCUUGGAAUGAGAAGUUUUAGCGCUGUGUAUGGAAGAAAAAGUGUUGCGCUCGCUCGGACCUUUGACAAUACCAUAAGUAUUUCUUAAGCACAUUUUUUCUCUUCCUGAGAGUGUGGUGCUUAAGACAUGAUCUAUACAUGUCAAAAUGAUGCUUUACUUUUCUCUGGCUCUGUUUAUGUCUAUUUUGUGACCUGAAGUAGUAUAUUGAGUUGUAAGGGAAUACUUUCAGGUCAAAACUUUUCUUUGUAAUAGUCGUAAUCUAGCUGGGCAACCAAUGUUUCUGAAGUAAUGCCCCUUUGUAAGAAGUAAUGUUUCUUAUUUGCUGGGUAACCCAUCACUACUUGCAUCAUGCCAAUGUAUUGUGUGUUAACAAUUCAUUUUGUUAUUUUGUUGUAGAUUCAGAAGAUAUAUGGAUGAUUAUAUGGCUACGUGGCAAGUAUACUGCAAUGAUGAUGAUGUACUGGAUCACCAUGAUGAUGAUGGACGCUUUCAGUUUUAGUUAAGUUGUAGCGAUAUUGUUCUUGUUGGAUGAUGUUCGUCGGUUAAGUUUUAAUUAAGUUGUAGGGAUAUUGAUGGAUGCUUGCAGUGAAGUCAAGAAAAUAUUUAGAUUAUGCAUCACAUUUGGAUGAUGCUCCUCCUGUAAUAUCAACUAUUGUAAUCCAACAGUUUUUUUUCAAUAUAUGAACUAUUAUUCCG